RNAcentral lists this transfer RNA (70 nucleotides) under Boana roraima (Hoogmoed's treefrog). RNAcentral's name for it is "Hypsiboas roraima (Hoogmoed's treefrog) tRNA-Val". It matches the Rfam family "tRNA". Rfam says of the family: Transfer RNA (tRNA) molecules are approximately 80 nucleotides in length. Their secondary structure includes four short double-helical elements and three loops (D, anti-codon, and T loops). The record is from RNAcentral. Lineage: Eukaryota; Metazoa; Chordata; Amphibia; Anura; Hylidae.
CAAAGCGUAGCUUAAAUAAAAGCAUCUCGCUUACACCGAGAAAAUGCCUGUUAAACUCAGGCCACUUUGA